This 497-nucleotide ribosomal RNA is filed under the name uncultured bacterium. RNAcentral's name for it is "partial 16S ribosomal RNA". It matches the Rfam family "Bacterial small subunit ribosomal RNA", at positions 28 to 507 of the family's 1533-position model. The record is from RNAcentral.
GACGAACGCUGGCGGCGUGCCUAAUACAUGCGAGUUGAGCGCUGAAGGUUGGUACUUGUACCAACUGGAUGAGCAGCGAACGGGUGAGUAACGCGUGGGGAAUCUGCCUUUGAGCGGGGGACAACAUUUGGAAACGAAUGCUAAUACCGCAUAAAAACUUUAAACACAAGUUUUAAGUUUGAAAGAUGCAAUUGCAUCACUCAAAGAUGAUCCCGCGUUGUAUUAGCUAGUUGGUGAGGUAAAGGCUCACCAAGGCGAUGAUACAUAGCCGACCUGAGAGGGUGAUCGGCCACAUUGGGACUGAGACACGGCCCAAACUCCUACGGGAGGCAGCAGUAGGGAAUCUUCGGCAAUGGACGAAAGUCUGACCGAGCAACGCCGCGUGAGUGAAGAAGGUUUUCGGAUCGUAAAACUCUGUUGGUAGAGAAGAACGUUGGUGAGAGUGGAAAGCUCAUCAAGUGACGGUAACUACCCAGAAAGGGACGGCUAACUACGCG